Molecule: ribosomal RNA, 1219 nt
Filed under: uncultured bacterium
Lineage: Bacteria
Description: partial 16S ribosomal RNA
Rfam family: Bacterial small subunit ribosomal RNA
Source: RNAcentral
UUGGUGGUGGAUACGCUCCACCAGGCCAUAUCAUGGGCACUGAGGGUAUUGCCACUGAUGACUGCAGGUCUCACGGAGCACAUGAGGAAUUGGCCAUGACGAGUCGACGAACACCGUCGGUGAUGAAGAGUUCGAUCGUAGCUCUGUUGUAAGGAAGACGAGUGAGAGUGGAAAGUCACAUGUGACGAUCUAACAAAGGACGGCUACUACGUCAGCAGGCGCGGUAAUACGUAGUCCCGAGCGUUGUCUGAUUAUUGGGCGUAAAGCGAGCGCAGCGGUAGAUAAGUCUAAGUAAAGCUGUGGCUUACCAUAGUACGCUUGGAACUGUUAACUUGAGUGCAGAGGGAGAGUGGAAUUCCAUGUGUAGCGGUGAAAUGCGUAGAUAUAUGGAGGAACACCGGUGGCGAAAGCGGCUCUCUGGCUUGUAACUGACGCUGAGGCUCGAAAGCGUGGGGAGCAAACAGGAUUAGAUACCGUGGUAGUCCACGCCGUAAACGAUGAGUGCUAGGUGUUAGACCCUUUCCGGGGUUUAGUGCCGUAGCUAACGCAUUAAGCACUCCGCGUGGGGAGUACGACCGCAAGGUUGAAACUCAAAGGAAUUGACGGGGGCCCGCACAAGCGGUGGAGCAUGUGGUUUAAUUCGAAGCAACGCGAAGAACCUUACCAGGUCUUGACAUCCCUCUGACCGCUCUAGAGAUAGAGUUUUCCUUCGGGACAGAGGUGACAGGUGGUGCAUGGUUGUCGUCAGCUCGUGUCGUGAGAUGUUGGGUUAAGUCCCGCAACGAGCGCAACCCCUAUUGUUAGUUGCCAUCAUUUAGUUGGGCACUCUAGCGAGACUGCCGGUAAUAAACCGGAGGAAGGUGGGGAUGACGUCAAAUCAUCAUGCCCCUUAUGACCUGGGCUACACACGUGCUACAAUGGCUGGUACAACGAGUCGCAAGCCGGUGACGGCAAGCUAAUCUCUUAAAGCCAGUCUCAGUUCGGAUUGUAGGCUGCAACUCGCCUACAUGAAGUCGGAAUCGCUAGUAAUCGCGGAUCAGCACGCCGCGGUGAAUACGUUCCCGGGCCUUGUACACACCGCCCGUCACACCACGAGAGUUUGUAACACCCGAAGUCGGUGAGGUAACCUUUUAGGAGCCAGCCGCCUAAGGUGGGAUAGAUGAUUGGGGUGAAGUCGUAACAAGGUAGCCGUAUCGGAAGGUGCGGUUGGAUCACCUCC